Molecule: small nuclear RNA, 334 nt
Filed under: Microtus ochrogaster (prairie vole)
Lineage: Eukaryota; Metazoa; Chordata; Mammalia; Rodentia; Cricetidae
Description: 7SK RNA (ENSMOCG00000009623.1)
Rfam family: 7SK RNA
About the family: 7SK was discovered as an abundant small nuclear RNA in the mid-70s but a possible function has only recently been suggested. Two independent studies have found that 7SK RNA binds the CDK9/cyclin T complex (known as elongation factor P-TEFb).
Source: RNAcentral
GGAUGUGAGAGCAACAUCGUGUGGUAUCUGUCACUUCGCUGAUUGUCAGGGUUAACUCAGCGGAUCUGGUGGGCUAGUCAGGUGUCCCCUUUCUACCUCACUGUCUCAUGUACAUCCCUCUCAAAGCUGUGUACUCAAUGUAUGAAGAUGACCUUCCCUGAGGGAGGAGGCUAGUUCUUCCAUCUCUAAGGGUCUAGGAGUAGCUACUAGCCCCUUCUAGAACCUCUAAGACAAGCUCUGGAGGUCCAUUUGUAGGAGAGUGUAGGAGAGUCAAGCUUCCAAAACUCCAGACACAUCCAAAUGAGGAGUUACAUGUGGCAGGCUGUCUUUCUUU